Halichondria panicea is the source of this 2284-nucleotide long non-coding RNA. RefSeq lists it as uncharacterized. NCBI's taxonomy places the organism in Eukaryota, Metazoa, Porifera, Demospongiae, Suberitida, Halichondriidae. The record is from RefSeq and is a predicted model, not a curated record. The transcript is spliced from 4 exons.
ACUGAUUGCAUGGUAAGAAGUCUUUGUGUUGAGAAGUUUAAUAGCUAGCUAGUUUAUAGCUAUUAUGAACACAUAAGUUAACAACAUCCAAGCAUAAAACUGAUAUCUGUUCAACAGUUUUCCAGUUGCUCUGAAAGAGACAAAACUGUCAUUCUACUGUUUAUUCAACUAUUUUACUCAGUUUAAUCAUAGAUAAUAGAGUGGUUUAAUUGAAGUUAAAGAUCUUGAUCUCUGUUUGAUCAUGGACUCCUUGAGGGAACUUGAGAGAAACAUAAUUAUACUUGCGGCUAGUUGUCACUGCUGGGAUUGGAUUGUGAAUGUACCAGCUACUUGACAAGAUUGAGCCAUCGCAGGCAACAGUGAAUCCCUAUAUAAGAGUCUCUGGACUACUGCCUCUGAGUAGGCCGCAACUUGACCAGUCACUAGAGCUGUUAACUCGUUAAAUUGAUGGUGAUACGUAUACAGUCCGGUAUGGUGUUGUUAACACUGGUCAGAGAUGUGGAGGUUGGUACUCAUUCGCCAAUAGACGGUGGGCUCUGGAGACCUGUGUGGACCCACUGGAGGGCUGUAUCUGUGUUCCUAUAGUGACAAACCCUGACUGUGAAUCCCUAAUUUCUGCUCAAGAUACCUCGAAGAGAACUGAGGGGCUCCAAACUUGAAAAUCAAGCUGUAAAACCUGACUAAAGAUGAUGUCAUUGCACCCACUACUCCAUUGGUUCCUUGUUAAAUCAUCCAAGCAAAGCAUAUCUUUGUUUCCAAUUAUUGAGGAUGCAGAAAGCGACUUCAGUGAAGAGCUCCAAGCCUCUUCCCACUCUGAGACCACUCUCACUCCUACAAAAGGGUACUGCAUUCAAGCCCAGAGAGUCGACAUCCAUUGUAAACUCCUUCUCAUUCACUAAACCCAAUUUUUUUGAGGAUGAAGAAAGCGACUUCAGUGAAGAGUUCUCCAAGCCCCUUCCCACCUUGAUAUCACUCUCACUCCUUCCCCGCCUACAAAAAGUACUGUGUUCAGUCGUAAAGAGUCGACAUCCAUUGUCAAUCCCUUCUCAUUCCAUGUAACUAUACCCGUGGCCAAUCCACCAAUUUCGAAUAUCCUGAGUUGAGUCCUUUGGAGCUCGAAACAGUUUCCUACUUCCUUGUGACAUCAACAAUUACUGAAGAGGAAGAAAGUGAUUUUAGUGAUGAUUUCUCUAAGCCUCUUUCCUCUCUAAGACUACUCUUACUCUUUCGUCGCAUACUGUAUUCAAGCCCAAAGAGUCGACAUCCAUUGUUGAUCCCUUCUCAUUUCAUGUGUUUAGCCAUGCCUAAUCUACCAAACUCAAUUUUCCGGAACUGGUUUAUUUGGAGCCCAGAACAGCUUGCGACGUCUGUUAAAAAGCACACUACGUUGAAGACAAUGAUUGAGAAUGAAGAAAGCGACCUCAGCGAAGAGUUCUCCAAGCCUCUUCCCACUCUAAGACUACUUUCACUGAUCCACCGCCAACAAUAGGGUACUGUUUUCAAGUCCAAAAGUCGACAUCCAUUGUUAACCCCUUCUCAUUCCAUGUGUCUGGCCAUGGCCAAUCCACAAAAUCCAAGUGUCCGGAACUGCAUGAGUUAUGUUGAGCUCAAAAGUGCUUCCUAUUUGUAAGUGAGGUCUGUUAAGAAACACACUACUCUGAAUACAAUAAUUGAGGAUGAAGAAAGCGGAAGAGUUCUCCAAGCCCCUUCCCACCUUGAUACCACUCUCACUCCUCCCUGCCUACAAAAAAGUAAUGUGUUCAAGUCCAAAUUAGAGUCGACAUACAUGUCAACCCCUUAUUAAUUGCCUGUGGCAGAUCCACCAAAUCCGAAUGUCUGGAGUUGGGUCCUUUGGAGCCCGAAACAGCUUCCUAUUUCCUUGUGAUGUCUGUUAAGAACCACACUACUUUGAAAACAAUUACUGAAGACGAAGAAAGUGAUUUUAGUGAUGAUUUCUGCAAGCCUCUUUCCUCUUCGAGAUCACUCCCGCUUAUCCCUCGCAAACAACAAGGAGCUGUCUUUAAUGCAAAGGAAUCCUCCAUGCACUGUCACAGUAUCCUGCUACUUAUCUGCCGUUCAGAGUUCAGCUGAGGCACCAAGAGAGGAAGACACAAUUGUUGAAAAGAAGUCUACAAGAGAUGUAAUGGGCAGUUAUAAAUUUGUGUUUGCAUGAUACAAUUUUGAGAGUAUAAUUAUAUAUAGACACUGGAACUGGUAUAGACUUAGCUUAAUACUUGUUUUUUAGUUGAUGAUCUUUACCACCCCAACAAUUGUACAAUGCAAG